AAGUCGUAACAAGGUUUCCGUAGGUGAACCUGCGGAAGGAUCAUUAAUGAAAUUAUGACUGGGGUUGUAGCUGGCCCAUAAAACGGCAUGUGCACGCUCCUUUCACAAUCCACAUACACCUGUGCACCUUCGCGGGGGUCCUCUUUCCUUUCGGGAAGAAGGCUCGCGUCCCUUUACACACCCUUUGUAUGUCUUAAGAAUGUCUACUCGAUGUAAUAAAACGCAUCUAAUACAACUUUCAACAACGGAUCUCUUGGCUCUC
This 262-nucleotide unclassified non-coding RNA is filed under the name air metagenome. RNAcentral's name for it is "partial contains small subunit ribosomal RNA, internal transcribed spacer 1, and 5.8S ribosomal RNA". The stretch from base 1 to 46 matches the Rfam family "Eukaryotic small subunit ribosomal RNA", at positions 1786 to 1831 of the family's 1831-position model. The record is from RNAcentral.